GAUGAACGCUGGCGGCGUGCCUAAUACAUGCAAGUCGAGCGAACAGACGAGGAGCUUUCUCCCCUGACGUUAGCGGCGGACGGGUGAGUAACACGUGGAUAACCUACCUAUAAGACUGGGAUAACUUCGGGAAACCGGAGCUAAUACCGGAUAAUAUAUUCAACCGCAUGGUUCAAUAGUGAAAGACGGUUUUGCUGUCACUUAUAGAUGGAUCCGCGCCGCAUUAGCUAGUUGGUAAGGUAACGGCUUACCAAGGCGACGAUGCGUAGCCGACCUGAGAGGGUGAUCGGCCACACUGGAACUGAGACACGGUCCAGACUCCUACGGGAGGCAGCAGUAGGGAAUCUUCCGCAAUGGGCGAAAGCCUGACGGAGCAACGCCGCGUGAGUGAUGAAGGUCUUCGGGUCGUAAAACUCUGUUAUUAGGGAAGAACAAAUGUGUAAGUAACUAUGCACGUCUUGACGGUACCUAAUCAGAAAGCCACGGCUAACUACGUG
Molecule: ribosomal RNA, 497 nt
Filed under: uncultured bacterium
Lineage: Bacteria
Description: partial 16S ribosomal RNA
Rfam family: Bacterial small subunit ribosomal RNA
Source: RNAcentral